This 1624-nucleotide ribosomal RNA is filed under the name Hymenobacter deserti. RNAcentral describes it as "bacterial SSU rRNA". The stretch from base 1 to 1319 matches the Rfam family "Bacterial small subunit ribosomal RNA". Lineage: Bacteria; Pseudomonadati; Bacteroidota; Cytophagia; Cytophagales; Hymenobacteraceae. The record is from RNAcentral.
GCUAUACAUGCAGUCGACGGUGGCAGCAAUGCCAUAGUGGCGCACGGGUGCGUAACGCGUAGGCAAUCUGCCUACUUCUGGGGGAUAGCCCGCCGAAAGGGGGAUUAAUACCGCAUAAGACCACAACACGGCAUCGUGUAGUGGUUAAAGAAUUUCGGAAGUAGAUGAGCCUGCGUGCCAUUAGCUAGUUGGCGGGGUAACGGCCCACCAAGGCGACGAUGGCUAGGGGAGCUGAGAGGCCGAUCCCCCACACUGGCACUGAGAUACGGGCCAGACUCCUACGGGAGGCAGCAGUAGGGAAUAUUGGGCAAUGGAGGAGACUCUGACCCAGCCAUGCCGCGUGACGGAUGAAGGCCUUCUGGGUUGUAAACGUCUUUUGCCCGGGAAGAAAAAGCCCUUGCGAGGGAAAUCGACGGUACCGGGUGAAUAAGCACCGGCUAACUCCGUGCCAGCAGCCGCGGUAAUACGGAGGGUGCAAGCGUUGUCCGGAUUUAUUGGGUUUAAAGGGUGCGUAGGCGGCCCUGCAAGUCCGUGGUGAAAGCCUGCCGCUUAACGGCAGAACUGCCAUGGAUACUACAGGGCUUGAGUCCAGACGAGGUUGGCGGAAUGGAUGGUGUAGCGGUGAAAUGCAUAGAUACCAUCCAGAACCCCGAUUGCGUAGGCAGCUGACUAGGCUGGUACUGACGCUGAGGCACGAAAGCGUGGGGAGCGAACAGGAUUAGAUACCCUGGUAGUCCACGCCGUAAACGAUGGAUACUCGCUGUGGGCAAUAUACGGUCCGCGGCUUAGCGAAAGCGUUAAGUAUCCCACCUGGGGAGUACGCCGGCAACGGUGAAACUCAAAGGAAUUGACGGGGGCCCGCACAAGUGGUGGAGCAUGUGGUUUAAUUCGAUGAUACGCGAGGAACCUUACCUAGGCUAGAAUGCGCGUGACCGGCUCAGAGAUGAGCCUUUCCUUCGGGACACAAAGCAAGGUGCUGCAUGGCCGUCGUCAGCUCGUGCCGUGAGGUGUUGGGUUAAGUCCCGCAACGAGCGCAACCCCUAUGUUUAGUUGCCAGCGGGUUAUGCCGGGGACUCUAGACAGACUGCCUGCGCAAGCAGCGAGGAAGGCGGGGACGACGUCAGGUCAUCAUGGCCCUUACGCCUAGGGCUGGGCACAUGGGGCGCUAUACAUGCAGUCGACGGUGGCAGCAAUGCCAUAGUGGCGCACGGGUGCGUAACGCGUAGGCAAUCUGCCUACUUCUGGGGGAUAGCCCGCCGAAAGGGGGAUUAAUACCGCAUAAGACCACAACACGGCAUCGUGUAGUGGUUAAAGAAUUUCGGAAGUAGAUGAGCCUGCGUGCCAUUAGCUAGUUGGCGGGGUAACGGCCCACCAAGGCGACGAUGGCUAGGGGAGCUGAGAGGCCGAUCCCCCACACUGGCACUGAGAUACGGGCCAGACUCCUACGGGAGGCAGCAGUAGGGAAUAUUGGGCAAUGGAGGAGACUCUGACCCAGCCAUGCCGCGUGACGGAUGAAGGCCUUCUGGGUUGUAAACGUCUUUUGCCCGGGAAGAAAAAGCCCUUGCGAGGGAAAUCGACGGUACCGGGUGAAUAAGCACCGGCUAACUCCGUGCCAGCAGCCGCG